Molecule: ribosomal RNA, 556 nt
Filed under: Halomonas halophila
Lineage: Bacteria; Pseudomonadati; Pseudomonadota; Gammaproteobacteria; Oceanospirillales; Halomonadaceae
Description: bacterial SSU rRNA
Rfam family: Bacterial small subunit ribosomal RNA
Source: RNAcentral
UCACCAAGGCGGCGAUCCGUAGCUGGUCUGAGAGGAUGAUCAGCCACAUCGAGACUGAGACACGGCCCGAACUCCUACGGGAGGCAGCAGUGGGGAAUAUUGGACAAUGGGCGAAAGCCUGAUCCAGCCAUGCCGCGUGUGUGAAGAAGGCCUUCGGGUUGUAAAGCACUUUCAGUGAGGAAGAAGGCUUGUCGGUUAAUACCCUGCAAGAGCGACAUCACUCACAGAAGAAGCACCGGCUAACUCCGUGCCAGCAGCCGCGGUAAUACGGAGGGUGCAAGCGUUAAUCGGAAUUACUGGGCGUAAAGCGCGCGUAGGCGGCUUGACACGCCGGUUGUGAAAGCCCCGGGCUCAACCUGGGAACGGCAUCCGGAACUGUCAGGCUAGAGUGCAGGAGAGGAAGGUAGAAUUCCCGGUGUAGCGGUGAAAUGCGUAGAGAUCGGGAGGAAUACCAGUGGCGAAGGCGGCCUUCUGGACUGACACUGACGCUGAGGUGCGAAAGCGUGGUAGCAAACAGGAUUAGAUACCCUGGUAGUCCACGCCGUAAACGAUGUCG